RNAcentral lists this ribosomal RNA (615 nucleotides) under Drosophila melanogaster (fruit fly). RNAcentral's name for it is "12S ribosomal RNA". The record is from RNAcentral. Lineage: Eukaryota; Metazoa; Arthropoda; Insecta; Diptera; Drosophilidae.
UGCCAGCAGUCGCGGUUAUACCAUUAAUACAAAUAAAUUUUUUUAGUAUUAAUUAAAUUAAAUUUAUUAAUAAUAAUAAAAUUAAAUAUAUUAAGUGAAAUUUUAUAUUUAAAUUAUUAUAUAAAAAUGUAAUUGAGGUUAAAAAAUUUUAAUAAAAAACUAGGAUUAGAUACCCUAUUAUUUAAAAUGUAAAUAAAUUGCUAAAGUAGUAAUAGUUAUGUUCUUGAAACUUAAAAAAUUUGGCGGUAUUUUAGUCUAUCUAGAGGAACCUGUUUUUUAAUCGAUAAUCCACGAUGGACCUUACUUAAAUUUGUAAUCAGUUUAUAUACCGUCGUUAUCAGAAUAUUUUAUAAGAAUAAUAAUAUUCAAUAAUUUUAAUAAAAAUUUAUAUCAGAUCAAGGUGUAGCUUAUAUUUAAGUAAUAAUGGGUUACAAUAAAUUUAUUUAUAUGAAUAAAAUUAUGAAAAAAUUUUUGAAAGUGGAUUUAGUAGUAAAAUUAUAAAGAUUAAUAAUUUGAUUUUAGCUCUAAAAUAUGUACACAUCGCCCGUCGCUCUUAUUAUUAAGGUAAGAUAAGUCGUAACAUAGUAGAUGUACUGGAAAGUGUAUCUAGAAUGA